This 541-nucleotide ribosomal RNA is filed under the name uncultured Citrobacter sp. Its description in RNAcentral is "bacterial SSU rRNA". It matches the Rfam family "Bacterial small subunit ribosomal RNA", at positions 505 to 1040 of the family's 1533-position model. The record is from RNAcentral. Lineage: Bacteria; Pseudomonadati; Pseudomonadota; Gammaproteobacteria; Enterobacterales; Enterobacteriaceae.
GUGCCAGCCCCGCGGCGGUAAUACGGAGGGUGCAAGCGUUAAUCGGAAUUACUGGGCGUAAAGCGCACGCAGGCGGUCUGUCAAGUCGGACGUGAAAUCCCCGGGCUCAACCCGGGAACUGCAUUCGAAACUGGCAGGCUUGAGUCUCGUAGAGGGGGGUAGAAUUCCAGGUGUAGCGGUGAAAUGCGUAGAGAUCUGGAGGAAUACCGGUGGCGAAGGCGGCCCCCUGGACGAAGACUGACGCUCAGGUGCGAAAGCGUGGGGAGCAAACAGGAUUAGAUACCCUGGUAGUCCACGCCGUAAACGAUGUCUAUUUGGAGGUUGUGCCCUUGAGGCGUGGCUUCCGGAGCUAACGCGUUAAAUAGACCGCCUGGGGAGUACGGCCGCAAGGUUAAAACUCAAAUGAAUUGACGGGGGCCCGCACAAGCGGUGGAGCAUGUGGUUUAAUUCGAUGCAACGCGAAGAACCUUAACCUGGUCUUGACAAUCCACAGAAGUUUUCAGUAGAUGAGAAUGUGCCUUCGGGAACUGUGAGACAGGUG